UUGUCCUAAUUUAGACAUAGAAUUUUCUCUCCUUUUUAUCCAAGAGUUGGAUAUAUAUUCUUACAUCUCUGGCAUAGAGAUUUGAUGCAUGGAUUUUAGGAAGAAAGAGAAGAAAGUAUUCUUCUAAUGAUCUCUAGUAUAGAGAUCAUCAUCCUCCUAUUCUCUUCAUCUUCUCUAAGAUAGUCUUGAGAGAAAUGAAGAGUUUUUAACUGUCAAGAUGCGAUCUCUGUAAGAA
RNAcentral lists this long non-coding RNA (235 nucleotides) under Elaeis guineensis (African oil palm). Its description in RNAcentral is "long non-coding RNA (EGUI_LNC071362)". Lineage: Eukaryota; Viridiplantae; Streptophyta; Magnoliopsida; Arecales; Arecaceae. The record is from RNAcentral.